UUCCUGUUGACUGGCUUUCUGCAGCGUCUCCGCCUCCCUUCCUCUCCCUAGAAGGGAAUCUACUGUGCAGCAGGCCCGGGAAAUCUGCAGUGGGUGUCCCCCCUGCCACACUACACACUCCGCUUCUUUCUGCUCCUCCCUCCUGGCUGCCAUAGAAACCAGCCUGCCAGGUCCAGGCCCGCGUCGCGCCGCGGUGGCCAUCCAGGCUCCUUCCCCGGCUCCCCAGAGCCAGCCCCCCGCUCGGGAUUGGUCCUGUUCAGGACGCUGAGGGACACUAGGCUCUGGUGGCGGAGCCAGAAGCAGACAGACAGCGGGGUUUGCCACGGCCCUGUGGGUCAGAUCUGCUGCUCAUCACAGCUCACAGAGGCUGUGCGACCCAGAUGUCUGCGCCCCGGGACACCCACGAGCCUGCUCCAGUGCCUGCCACUCGGCGCGCCUAGCCUGGCCGCACAGCGAGCUCCCCAGGCGGCCUCCCGACUGAGGUGUGGCCGGGGAGACGGAGUGGCACGAAUCCUCAAUGACAGCAUGCACCACAAUCCUGCCUAGAGAAAGGCGCUUCUUUGGGAAGACCUAACAAUGUAAGAAGGAACUUCGUUGUUCUUUCUGGGUAUCUCUCCAGGAUUAUUAUAAUGGAGGUAGAGGACUUGGAGGUCCAACCAGGAAGGGACUUCAACAGAGUCAAAACGCCGUCUGCAAGCAGAACACAUUGGUUCCGAUGGCAAAAGAUGGAUUUUCCCCUUUCCCUCUCUUCCUCCUCCUCUCGUCCCUCUCCUUCACCCUUAGUCUGUCCCUUUUCGAGUUUCUCCCCCUCCGGAGUGUAGUAGACAAGAGGGCUCUAUGUUAAGCCCACCCUCCCCCACCCCAUGUCAAAAUAAGGGCGAACGAAUCACAUUCUAAGUGCUCACCGU
This 908-nucleotide long non-coding RNA is filed under the name Cricetulus griseus (Chinese hamster). RNAcentral's name for it is "lncRNA (ENSCGRG00015040320.1)". Lineage: Eukaryota; Metazoa; Chordata; Mammalia; Rodentia; Cricetidae. The record is from RNAcentral.